This is a long non-coding RNA of Oncorhynchus tshawytscha (Chinook salmon), 342 nucleotides long. RefSeq lists it as uncharacterized. The transcript is spliced from 2 exons. The record is from RefSeq and is a predicted model, not a curated record. NCBI's taxonomy places the organism in Eukaryota, Metazoa, Chordata, Actinopteri, Salmoniformes, Salmonidae.
CAAGCCAUACAACGAGUGACUGCUCUAGUUGACCAGCUCGACUUCAUUAUUUACAUGAUUAUUAAAAUGGAACAUUUUCGACGACACCGAGGCCACCGCAGGUAAGUGGGGGAAUCCCACCCAGACCAACCCUUUUCCCUGACAAGAGACUGAAAAGAUGGAAUGCAGCACAACAUGUUCUCAGUGUAGUGUAUGGUUGACUUUACACUGUGUAGUGUAUGGUUGACUUUACACUGACAUAUUUAAUACUUGUGCUUUGAUUGUCAACUCGUUCUGCAAUACGAUGUUCCAGUCACGUGUCGUACAAUACCCGUAACUUGCUGAAUAAACACUGUAAGCCAA